Small RNA from Hucho hucho (huchen), 144 nucleotides. The record is from Ensembl. Lineage: Eukaryota; Metazoa; Chordata; Actinopteri; Salmoniformes; Salmonidae.
AAUUGCCCCAGAUGGAAAUGGAAAGCCUUUUUGAGAGGAACUUUAUUUUUUCUUGAACUAGAAAAGCGACUAAAAGAAGCUCUUUCUUGUUCUUAGAAAAAAAUAGUUGUGACAAAAAGCUUGCAGUGUACAGCUGGAUAAGGC